GACGAACGCUGGCGGCGUGCUUAACACAUGCAAGUCGAACGGAAAGGCCCUGCUUUUGUGGGGUGCUCGAGUGGCGAACGGGUGAGUAACACGUGAGUAACCUGCCCUUGACUUUGGGAUAACUUCAGGAAACUGGGGCUAAUACCGGAUAGGAGCUCCUGCUGCAUGGUGGGGGUUGGAAAGUUUCGGCGGUUGGGGAUGGACUCGCGGCUUAUCAGCUUGUUGGUGGGGUAGUGGCUUACCAAGGCUUUGACGGGUAGCCGGCCUGAGAGGGUGACCGGCCACAUUGGGACUGAGAUACGGCCCAGAAGCCUACGGGAGGCAGCAGUGGGGAAUAUUGCACAAUGGGCGGAAGCCUGAUGCAGCAACGCCGCGUGCGGGAUGACGGCCUUCGGGUUGUAAACCGCUUUCGCCUGAGACGAAGAGUGAGUGACGGUAAUGGGUAAAGAAGCAACGGCUAACUACGUG
This 468-nucleotide ribosomal RNA is filed under the name uncultured bacterium. Its description in RNAcentral is "partial 16S ribosomal RNA". It matches the Rfam family "Bacterial small subunit ribosomal RNA", at positions 28 to 507 of the family's 1533-position model. The record is from RNAcentral.